CCUACGGUCGCACCAGUGGGGAAUAUUGCACAAUGGGCGCAAGCCUGAUGCAGCCACGCCGCGUGUGUGAAGAAGGCCUUCGGGUUGUAAAGCACUUUCAGCGAGGAGGAAGGUGGUGAACUUAAUACGUUCAUCAAUUGGCGUUACUCGCAGAAGAAGCACCGGCUAACUCCGUGCCAGCGGCCGCGGUAAUACGGAGGGUGCAAGCGUUAAUCGGAAUUACUGGGCGUAAAGCGCACGCAGGCGGUUUGUUAAGUCAGAUGUGAAAUCCCCGGGCUCAGCCUGGGAACUGCAUUUGAAACUGGCAAGCUAGAGUCUCGUAGAGGGGGGUAGAAUUCCAGGUGUAGCGGUGAAAUGCGUAGAGAUCUGGAGGAAUACCGGUGGCGAAGGCGGCCCCCUGGACGAAGACUGACGCUCAGGUGCGAAAGCGUGGGGAGCAAACAGGAUUAGAUACCCUCGUAGUC
RNAcentral lists this ribosomal RNA (464 nucleotides) under uncultured bacterium. RNAcentral's name for it is "bacterial SSU rRNA". It matches the Rfam family "Bacterial small subunit ribosomal RNA", at positions 338 to 795 of the family's 1533-position model. The record is from RNAcentral.